RNAcentral lists this ribosomal RNA (451 nucleotides) under uncultured organism. Its description in RNAcentral is "partial 16S ribosomal RNA". It matches the Rfam family "Bacterial small subunit ribosomal RNA", at positions 332 to 799 of the family's 1533-position model. The record is from RNAcentral.
UACACUCCUACGGGAGGCAGCAGUGGGGAAUAUUGGACAAUGGGCGCAAGCCUGAUCCAGCCAUGCCGCGUGAGUGAUGAAGGCCCUAGGGUUGUAAAGCUCUUUCACCGGAGAAGAUAAUGACGGUAUCCGGAGAAGAAGCCCCGGCUAACUUCGUGCCAGCAGCCGCGGUAAUACGAAGGGGGCUAGCGUUGUUCGGAAUUACUGGGCGUAAAGCGCACGUAGGCGGAUCGAUCAGUCAGGGGUGAAAUCCCAGGGCUCAACCCUGGAACUGCCUUUGAUACUGUCGAUCUGGAGUAUGGAAGAGGUGAGUGGAAUUCCGAGUGUAGAGGUGAAAUUCGUAGAUAUUCGGAGGAACACCAGUGGCGAAGGCGGCUCACUGGUCCAUUACUGACGCUGAGGUGCGAAAGCGUGGGGAGCAAACAGGAUUAGAUACCCGAGUAGUCCCAUG